CGAGAGGCAGAAACAUUCGGCAACGGUGUCGGUUACAGAGGAUGGUCCGCAGCGCAGUGCAGCGCUCCGACAACACUAGCCUGACAAGACGAACAGUCCAUCGACAUUUAUAAAAGACACUCCAGGACUCUUCUUCAUCUAGGCUGUCAUAAAUUACCUACGAGAAAGUGGAGAGUUUAAUUCCAGAGACGAAGACUAUGGACGAACAGCCAGCAGCGAUUUCAGAUCAGGGAAAGUAGAACGGACCAGGAGAAGGUGCCCUCUCUUUGCUUUGAGCCUGAUUAUCGGUCUGUCUGGUCUCCAGCUCUUUUGGUCUGGUUGUCUGGUUCGGGCGAGCAGUGAUCUUCCACAGCAGACAUCUCCAGGGAUUGUAGCACGUGGUCUGAGGAGGAGUCAUGGGGCCGGUACGGGCCUACCCAUUAGCCCUGCCUGUGCUGGCUGUUCUGGGCCUCAUUAUCAGCGCAUGGAGCCUCAACCCAGAUGACCCCAAUGUCUGCAGUCACUGGGAGAGGUGAGAGAGGGUCACUCUCCUGUGUUAAACUCUGUUUUACCUUCCGUUUAUCCAUAGCAGGAUUCAC
Sinocyclocheilus grahami is the source of this 578-nucleotide long non-coding RNA. RefSeq lists it as uncharacterized. The transcript has 3 exons. The record is from RefSeq and is a predicted model, not a curated record. Lineage: Eukaryota; Metazoa; Chordata; Actinopteri; Cypriniformes; Cyprinidae.